GUCCCGCAACGAGCGCAACCCUCGUCCUAUGUUGCCAGCACGUAAUGGUGGGAACUCAUGGGAUACUGCCGGGGUCAACUCGGAGGAAGGUGGGGAUGACGUCAAAUCAUCAUGCCCCUUAUGUCUUGGGCUUCACGCAUGCUACAGUGGCCGGUACAGAGGGCUGCAAUACCGCAAGGUGGAGCGAAUCCCAAAAAGCCGGUCUCAGUUCGGAUUGAGGUCUGCAACUCGACCUCAUGAAGUCGGAGUCGCUAGUAAUCGUAGAUCAGCAACGCUACGGUGAAUACGUUCCCGGGCCUU
Molecule: ribosomal RNA, 300 nt
Filed under: uncultured bacterium
Lineage: Bacteria
Description: bacterial SSU rRNA
Rfam family: Bacterial small subunit ribosomal RNA
Source: RNAcentral